This 468-nucleotide ribosomal RNA is filed under the name uncultured bacterium. RNAcentral's name for it is "partial 16S ribosomal RNA". The stretch from base 58 to 468 matches the Rfam family "Bacterial small subunit ribosomal RNA", at positions 39 to 507 of the family's 1533-position model. The record is from RNAcentral.
GGGGGGGGGGGGGGGGGGGGUGGGGGGGGGCGGGGCGGGCGGGGGGGCGGGGGGUGGGUGGGGUGCGCGAGGGGGGAACGGGGGGGGAAGAGGGGGGUAACCGGCCCUAGACUGUGGGGGAGCUUCAGGGAACUGGGGCUAAUACCGGAUAGGAGCUCCCGCUGCAUGGUGGGGGGUGGAAAGUUUCGGCGGUUGGGGAUGGACUCGCGGCUUAUCAGCGUGUUGGUGGGGUAGUGGCUUACCCAGGCUUUGACGGGUAGCCGGCCUGCGAGGGUGACCGGCCACAUUGGGACUGAGAUACGGCCCAGACUCCUACGGGAGGCAGCAGUGGGGAAUAUUGCACAAUGGGCGGAAGCCUGAUGCAGCAACGCCGCGUGCGGGAUGACGGCCUUCGGGUUGUAAACCGCUUUCGCCUGUGACGAAGCGUGAGUGACGGUAAUGGGUAAAGAAGCACCGGCUAACUACGUG